This is an RNA transcript of Carya illinoinensis, 5426 nucleotides long. It is a transcript of the gene named HEAT repeat-containing protein 6, with no coding region annotated. The transcript has 25 exons. NCBI's taxonomy places the organism in Eukaryota, Viridiplantae, Streptophyta, Magnoliopsida, Fagales, Juglandaceae. The record is from RefSeq and is a predicted model, not a curated record.
UACUUUUUUAUUUUGAAACCUUAGCCGUAGGCCACGUUUGUUUCGUAACACGUUUCAAAACUGGUUUUUGGAUUGGAACCAAGAAACCGAUAUCGUAGGUAAAUGUCGCGAAUGGUGUUCUUUACUAUUCGGUAGUUCUGUCUUUGCUCCGGUAAUGAAUGGCGUCAUCGUCUUCGUCGUCGGCAGCGGUCAGGUCAUGGAGGACUGCGUUUCUGACACUGAGGGACGAAACCCUAACAAGUCCUCGUACCGCCACUGCAGUCGGCGCCACCUCUUCCUCUUCCAUUCCCCAACUACUUCAGCAUUUUGUCUUCUCCCAUUCUCAUUCUCUCGUCUCUGCCGCCCCGGAACUUCCUCCUCACGAGGUUGCAUCCGACGUAUUUUUCCUGCUGGAAUUGGUUGCCAAUAGUUGUCUCGGCCCGCAAGAUAUGACCGCUACGUUGUCUCAUACGUCACAAUUGAUUCGUGAUUUAUGUCAUCGUGUUUACUUUGAGAUAAAUUCAUCUUCUUGGACCCUCAUGUUCGACUCUUUUGCAACGAUGCUUGAUUAUCUUCUUGACAAAGCUGCUCCUAUAGCUACCGCUGAUUCUUCCGCUGAUGCUGCUGUAAUUACACCUAUCAUGGACUGCUUGGAGACCAUAAGACGUCUUAUCAUUGUUCAUCAUAAAAAAAGUUCACCACCUGACGAUACCCAACUGGUGAAAUUCCUUCUCCGUGUCAUUGAGAGCUCUCAUGCAGAGUUCAUUAAGUCAUUUCGUUCAAUCACAAACCAAAGAUUUGCUGCUGAAAUAGGAAGGAGAUUACCCAGAUACAGCAGUUUAUGGGAGCUCCAGACUCUCGCCUUUGCUAUGCUUGGUGAAACUGUCUCAAGAUAUGGGCCAUCCAUUCCAGUUGAUGUCUGGAGAUCAUUGAUUGAGAUUCUUAGGAAAGUGAUGGAUUUCUUGGCAUCUAAGAGCUUGCUUGUGGAAGACAGUGUCAUGUCCAGGUUUUAUUCAUCUCUCCUACAUUGUCUGCAUUUGGUUCUUAUGGAUCCUAAAUAUCCCCUUUCUGACCAUGUGGCAAGUUUUGUAGCAGCAUUAAGAAUGUUCUUCACCUAUGGUCUUAAUAGUAGAACACAACUUACAUAUCCAGAUGUUGGUCAUCAGCAGAAGGACCUCCAUAUAUUGAAUAAGACAAGUUUGGAAGAACCUAAAAGAGUAGAACCUGGUCCGUAUAGGCCUCCACACUUGCGCAAAAAGGAAAUUUCAAAUAUGAAGCCGAAGAAAUCUUGGAAUCCUCAAAGUUCAUCAGAUUGUGAAUCUUCUUUGGUUGAUUUCAUGUCAUCGGAUUCAGAUUACAGUGACAGUGACGGAUUUGUUCAAGACACUGAGACUGUUCGGAAAGCCAAGGUCAGAGUAGCUGCAAUUGUUUGCAUUCAGGUGAGCUCACAACAUCAUUUUUUAAAAAAAGUAGCUGCGAUUGUUUGCAUUCAGGAUCUCUGUCAAGCUGAUUCCAAAUCAUUUACUACCCAGUGGACACUGCUUUUGCCAACCAGCGAUGUACUACAACCGAGGAAGUUUGAAGCAACUUUGAUGACUUGCUUGAUGUACGAUCCUUAUUUAAAGGCUCGGAUUGCUUCUGCCUCAGCUCUGGCAGUCAUUUUGGACGGGCCUUCUUCCAUUUUUCUUCAGGUAGCAGAAUACAAAGGAUCUUCUAAGUUUGGAUCUUUUACUGCACUUUCAAGUUCCCUUGGACAGAUACUAAUGCAACUACAUACAGGGAUUCUGCACUUAAUCCAGCGGGAAACUCAUAGUAGAUUGCUGGCCUCCUUAUUCAAGAUUCUCACGCUUUUAGUAGCAUCCACACCAUAUUCGAGAAUGCCGGGAGAGUUGUUGCCAACAGUUAUUACUUCUCUACAAGCAAGGAUCAAUGAAGGGUUUUCUUUCAAAAAUUAUCAGACUGGUCUUCUGGCUGCUGCUGUUGGUUGCUUGACAGCAGCUCUGUCUACUUCACCUUCCUUAGAUGUCAGAGAAAUGCUUUUAAAAGAGACAUCCACAGGUUUCCCGGAGACUGAAAAGAAGUCAAGUGUUCUUUUUACAUUAUUACAGUACUCAGAACAACUAACCAGCCCAAAUAUAUGCUUCGAAUCUCUCCAGGCACUUAAAGCUGUAUCACACAAUUACCCAAACACUAUGUUUGCAUUUUGGGAACGAGUUUCUACCAUUGUUUAUGGCAUAUUGAUGGUAGCAACUCCUGAAUUUCCUUCAAGGCCAUGGAAGGGUCACACUGGAGACCCUGUUGGGUUUAUUGGGGAAAAAGUCAUUACAGCUGCUGUCAAGCUUUUGGAUGAAUGUCUUCGUGCAUUAUCUGGAUUUAAAGGAACUGAAGAUCUCUCAGAUGAUAAACUUACCCCAUUUACUUCUGACUGCAUAAGGAUGAAGAAGGUUUCAUCAGCCCCAUCUUACGAACUAGAUAGCAAAGAAUUUAACAACAACGAACCCAAAGCAUGUCACUCGGGAAUUGAGCAGUGGUCUGAGGCAAUUGAGAAGCAUCUGCCUUUAAUUUUGCGGCAUACUUCUGCAAUGGUGAGAGGUGCAUCAGUUACAUGUUUUGCCGGUAUAACUUCCCAUGUGUUCUUCUCUCUUGUGAAGGAAAAACAAGAUUUCAUUCUCUCUUCAUUAAUUAAUGCUUCUAUAUGUGAUGAGGUGCCAUCAGUUAGGUCUGCUGCCUGUCGAGCCAUUGGUGUCAUCGCAUGUUUUCCUCAAGUUUCCCAGAGUGCAGAGAUCCGUGACAAAUUUAUCCGAGCUGUUGAGAUUAAUACUCGUGAUCCCUUAGUCUCGGUAAGGAUAACAGCCUCUUGGGCUUUGGCCAACAUAUGUGAUUCAAUCCAUUCAUCAAUAGAUGAUCUUCCAUCACAGCAGUCUAAAGAAUCAAAUGUGGACUCUCCAUCAAUUGCAUCAUUAACUGAGUGUGCUUUGCGUCUAACAAAGGAUGGAGACAAGAUAAAAUCAAAUGCUGUGAGGGCUCUUGGGAAUCUCUCAAGAUUUGUUAACUAUACAUGCUUAUCUGGUUCUCAUGAUAAGCCAAUGGAUCGCAUGCGGUUAUCUAUAAAUACUAACAGUAAUGAGGAGUCCACAUCAAGCAAUGAUAUGAAAGGCAGCCAUGGAAAUGCAUCAAAUUCAUUUCGUCCAGGUUCUAUGGGAGAUUUAUGCUGGCUUGAUAGAAUGGUCCAAGCUUUUAUCUCUUGUGUCACAACUGGGAAUGUUAAGGUUCAGUGGAAUGUUUGUCAUGCAUUGAGCAACCUAUUUCUAAAUGAGACAUUAAGACUGCAAGACAUGGAUUGCAAGUGUGGCAUUUCGUAUCGAGAAACUUCAACGUGAUUUCUUGUGGAGUGGAGUGGAGUGGAGUGGGUGAGGAGUUCAAAUUCCACCUAGUCAAGUAGGAGAAGGUAUGUAACGCUAUAUCCAAUGGUGGAUUUAUUUCUUUCACUUUUCCGGGUUGCAAGUGCGAAAGAUGUUUCAGUGGUGGAAGUCACGGUGAUAUCGGGGGAGCAAAUCCAGUGGAACAUCAAUUUUAGUCGAGCUGCACAAGAUUGGGAAAUGAGUAGUUUCAAAGCCUUUUUCAGCCUUUUGUACUCCAUAAAACCAAGCAACCUGCAAGAAGAUAUGUUGUGGUGGAUACCUAUAGGUAAAGGCUCUUUCUCGGAUCACUCUUUUUAUAAGUCCCUCACACAAGUGCCCAAUAUUCAGUUUCCAUGGAGAAGGCUUUGGAGACAUAAGGCGCCUCCCAAAGCAGCUUUUUUUUUUUUUUGUGUGGACAGCUUCCUUGGGUAAGAUCCUCACAACCAACAAUUUGAGGAAGCGUACGGUGAUCAUCUCAGAUUGGUGUUGUAUGUGUAGGAACGGAGGUGAAUCUGUGGACCAUCUCCUACUACACUAUGAGACAGCUAGAGGGUUGUGGAAUGAGGUAUUCAGUAGAUUAGACUUGGCCUGGGUUAUGCUUGAGACAGUGGUGGCAGUUCUGGCCAGCUGGACAAAUCUAAGAGCAUCUAACAGAUUAAAGUUGUGUGUAAGAUGAUCCCUAUUUGCAUCAUGGGGUGUUUGUGGUAGAAGCGCAAUGAACGGAUGUUCAAAGACAGAGAGAUCGAUGGAGGAACUAAAAGCUUUCUUUAUUAGAACUCUAUGUACUUGGGUCAUUGGCGUUGAUUUUAAUGGCUUAGAUCUACAUGAUUUUCUUGUCUCUAUUGCGCCUACUUAGUUAGGGCAUUCUUUGUACUGUACCUGCCUAUUCUUUGAUCAAUAAAAUUUGUUUACUUAUAUAUAUAUAAAGAAGUUCUUGAUUACCUAUCAAAAAAAUAUAUACUUCAUCUAGGUGUGCAACUGUAAAACUUCUUGAUUCAGCAUUUAAGAAACUUACAUGCACCUGUACCUGAUGGUUGAAUGUGGGGGGAUAGGAACUUGCACAGUUUAUGUAUGUAUAUCUGCUGAGAUGUUAAUUAAAUGAUUUAAGUCACUAUUUCCCUUUAUAUUGAGAUUUUGGAGAAAAUUAGUUAUUUAACUUGAUAUCAAAGCAGAAAUCCUGAGUUUGAACUCCAACUUCAUAUUAUUCCUCCCAUUUGAGUUAAAUAUCUCAAGUGAUAGGCCCCACUUAUUGAGGGGACUCUGGCUUACACGUAAAGGGAGUUUUGAUGAAAAUUAUCAAGUUCAUUGUUUCCCAUAAGUUUUAAGUUUUUGAGAUGAUUGCUGAUUUAAAAAUAGAGAGACUGUAAAUUUAAGUGCAAAUUGGGGAAUGGUUUCAGUGCUAGCUAUAUUUGUGUAUGAAAAAUUUGUUGGUGUAUCCAUGACCAGGUAGUGCAAGUGUCCCAUUGGUUUCAUUCCAAUACUUGUCAUUUUAGAUAUUUUGGUAACCAAAAUUAUCUUCUCUCUUCAUCAUUUGCCACUUGAAGUCAUGGUUGUAUUCAAUGGUUUUCUAUCUUGAGAAUACGUGGGGCUAGAUAACACCAUGCAAAGUAGACUACACUAGUUUGCAUGAAGAGAGCAGAAGCUAGUGCACUAAGUGAACGGCAGUAUAUUACACGAAACAUUUGAGCCUUUUGUACAUUUAAGUGGCAACUUGUGGGUCCCCAUCAUGCUACAGAAAAUUAGUUUAUCAUGUUCACUGUUUGGCACGUUUUUUCUUGAGGUAGUGUCACUGAUAUAUAUCUCCUGAUUAUCUUUCCUCUGAAUAGUUGUAUGCUAUAAUGACAAUAGACGCUAAUAAUUUGGGAAAAAAGUGGUGAUGCAGACCUGCCUUAGGGACUAUUUGGAUACUUAGAAUAUCUCAAUUACCUAUGAAUAGUAGUAAAAUGGUUUGAGUUAAGAUGCUUUAUUGAAUUUUGGGAAAGGAGAGAGAAAAAGUUGAAUAAAAUAGUUAAAAUAUUGUUUGUUUUGAAAUUUGAAAAAGUAGUG